RNAcentral lists this ribosomal RNA (1034 nucleotides) under Lophiotrema neohysterioides (nom. illeg.). RNAcentral's name for it is "SSU rRNA". It matches the Rfam family "Eukaryotic small subunit ribosomal RNA", at positions 59 to 1103 of the family's 1831-position model. Lineage: Eukaryota; Fungi; Ascomycota; Dothideomycetes; Pleosporales; Lophiotremataceae. The record is from RNAcentral.
UCUAGUAUAAGCAUUAUACCGUGAAACUGCGAAUGGCUCAUUAAAUCAGUUAUCGUUUAUUUGAUAGUACCUUACUACUUGGAUAACCGUGGUAAUUCUAGAGCUAAUACAUGCUAAAAACCCCGACUUCGGGAGGGGUGUAUUUAUUAGAUAAAAAACCAAUGCCCUUCGGGGCUCUUUGGUGAUUCAUGAUAACUUAACGGAUCGCAUGGCCUUGCGCCGGCGACGGUUCAUUCAAAUUUCUGCCCUAUCAACUUUCGAUGGUAAGGUAUUGGCUUACCAUGGUUUCAACGGGUAACGGGGAAUUAGGGUUCGAUUCCGGAGAGGGAGCCUGAGAAACGGCUACCACAUCCAAGGAAGGCAGCAGGCGCGCAAAUUACCCAAUCCCGACUCGGGGAGGUAGUGACAAUAAAUACUGAUACAGGGCUCUUUUGGGUCUUGUAAUCGGAAUGAGUACAAUUUAAACCCCUUAACGAGGAACAAUUGGAGGGCAAGUCUGGUGCCAGCAGCCGCGGUAAUUCCAGCUCCAAUAGCGUAUAUUAAAGUUGUUGCAGUUAAAAAGCUCGUAGUUGAACCUUGGGCCUGGCUGGCCGGUCCGCCUCACCGCGUGUACUGGUCCGGCCGGGCCUUUCCUUCUGGAGAGCCGCAUGCCCUUCACUGGGUGUGUCGGGGAACCAGGACUUUUACUUUGAAAAAAUUAGAGUGUUCAAAGCAGGCCUUUGCUCGAAUACGUUAGCAUGGAAUAAUAGAAUAGGACGUGCGGUCCUAUUUUGUUGGUUUCUAGGACCGCCGUAAUGAUUAAUAGGGAUAGUCGGGGGCAUCAGUAUUCAAUUGUCAGAGGUGAAAUUCUUGGAUUUAUUGAAGACUAACUACUGCGAAAGCAUUUGCCAAGGAUGUUUUCAUUAAUCAGUGAACGAAAGUUAGGGGAUCGAAGACGAUCAGAUACCGUCGUAGUCUUAACCGUAAACUAUGCCGACUAGGGAUCGGGCGAUGUUUCUAUCUUGACUCGCUCGGCACCUUACGAGAAAUCAAAG